GUUGAAUUGGCAGAAUAAGUGCUUUAAAUUUAGAAUUUAAAAAUGUAGUUUUUACAUUCAAUA
Molecule: transfer RNA, 63 nt
Filed under: Symplanella brevicephala
Lineage: Eukaryota; Metazoa; Arthropoda; Insecta; Hemiptera; Caliscelidae
Description: tRNA-Leu
Source: RNAcentral